This 45-nucleotide ribosomal RNA is filed under the name Tetrahymena sp. BOLD:AAO5070. RNAcentral describes it as "partial 26S ribosomal RNA". The record is from RNAcentral. Lineage: Eukaryota; Ciliophora; Oligohymenophorea; Hymenostomatida; Tetrahymenidae.
CUACACCUGAAUGAGCAGAUACCCGCUGAACUUAGCAUAUCAGUA